RNAcentral lists this transfer RNA (68 nucleotides) under Marmota monax (woodchuck). Its description in RNAcentral is "tRNA.Ala". Lineage: Eukaryota; Metazoa; Chordata; Mammalia; Rodentia; Sciuridae. The record is from RNAcentral.
GGACUGUGGCUCAGUGGUGGAGCACUUGCUUAGCAUGUGUGAGGCACUGGGUUCGAUUCUCAGCACCA